Molecule: unclassified non-coding RNA, 275 nt
Filed under: uncultured fungus
Lineage: Eukaryota; Fungi
Description: partial contains small subunit ribosomal RNA, internal transcribed spacer 1, and 5.8S ribosomal RNA
Rfam family: Eukaryotic small subunit ribosomal RNA (bases 1-73)
Source: RNAcentral
UCAAACUUGGUCAUUUAGAGGAAGUAAAAGUCGUAACAAGGUCUCCGUUGGUGAACCAGCGGAGGGAUCAUUACAGGACUCGCAAGACUCCCGUACACCCCUGUGAACAUACCUACAGUCGUUGCCUCGGCGGGUGCCCCGGGUGCGAACCCGGGGCGCCGCCCGCCGGCGGCCCGCAACUCUGUCUCGCGCGUUGGCAUCUCCGAGCAAAAGACAAAUAAGUUAAAACUUUCAACAACGGAUCUCUUGGUUCUGGCAUCGAUGAAGAACGCAGC